This 88-nucleotide small nucleolar RNA is filed under the name Tupaia belangeri chinensis (Chinese tree shrew). RNAcentral's name for it is "Tupaia chinensis (Chinese tree shrew) Small nucleolar RNA U3". It matches the Rfam family "Small nucleolar RNA U3", at positions 1 to 93 of the family's 219-position model. Rfam says of the family: Small nucleolar RNAs (snoRNAs) are involved in the processing and modification of rRNA in the nucleolus. There are two main classes of snoRNAs: the box C/D class, and the box H/ACA class. U3 snoRNA is a member of the box C/D class. The record is from Rfam by way of RNAcentral. Lineage: Eukaryota; Metazoa; Chordata; Mammalia; Scandentia; Tupaiidae.
AAGACUAUACUUUCAGGGAUCAUUUCUAUAGUCUGUUACUAGAGAAGAUUCUCUGAUCCUGUAGAGCAAUGAGGAAAUGACUAAAUGA